RNAcentral lists this ribosomal RNA (365 nucleotides) under Russula aff. acriuscula KS709. RNAcentral's name for it is "LSU rRNA". It matches the Rfam family "Bacterial large subunit ribosomal RNA", at positions 1712 to 2066 of the family's 2925-position model. The record is from RNAcentral. Lineage: Eukaryota; Fungi; Basidiomycota; Agaricomycetes; Russulales; Russulaceae.
UCUCGGCAAAUUAUCCUCAUAAGUUUGACAAUAAGAGAAACCAUAUAAAAUUUAAAUAAAGUUAAUUAAAUUAAUAAUAUGGAAUAAUAAAAUCGGAGGCCACGACUGUUUACUAAAAACACAAUUCAGAGCAAUGAUUAAGAUAAUAGUAUUCUGGAUGAAAUUUGCUCAAUGCCAUUAAUAUAAGAGAGGUAAUUUUAAAGUUACUAAUCGAAAAUCUGGUUAAUAGCGGUCUUAACUAUGAGGAUCCUAAGGUAGCAAAAUAAAUUGGCCAUUAAAUGUGGUCUUGUAUCAAUAAUGUAACGAUGGUCUCACUGUCUCUACAACUUGCUCAGUGAAAUUGAAUUGCGAGUGCAGAUGCUCGC